RNAcentral lists this ribosomal RNA (301 nucleotides) under uncultured bacterium. Its description in RNAcentral is "partial 16S ribosomal RNA". It matches the Rfam family "Bacterial small subunit ribosomal RNA", at positions 509 to 807 of the family's 1533-position model. The record is from RNAcentral.
CAGUAGCCGCGGUAAUACGAAGGGUGCAAGCGUUACUCGGAAUUACUGGGCGUAAAGCGUGCGUAGGUGGUGGUUUAAGUCCGUUGUGAAAGCCCUGGGCUCAACCUGGGAAUUGCAGUGGAUACUGGAUCACUAGAGUGUGGUAGAGGAUAGUGGAAUUUCCGGUGUAGCAGUGAAGUGCGUAGAGAUCGGAAGGAACAUCUGUGGCGAAGGCGACUAUCUGGGCCAACACUGACACUGAGGCACGAAAGCGUGGGGAGCAAACAGGAUUAGAGACCCCCGUAGUCCCUGUCUCUUAUAC